This 344-nucleotide ribosomal RNA is filed under the name uncultured bacterium. RNAcentral's name for it is "bacterial SSU rRNA". It matches the Rfam family "Bacterial small subunit ribosomal RNA", at positions 8 to 354 of the family's 1533-position model. The record is from RNAcentral.
AGAGUUUGAUCAUGGCUCAGAUUGAACGCUGGCGGCAUGCCUUACACAUGCAAGUCGAGCGGCAGCGCGGACUUCGGUCUGGCGGCGAGUGGCGAACGGGUGAGUAAUACAUCGGAACGUACCCUGUUGUGGGGGAUAACUAGUCGAAAGAUUAGCUAAUACCGCAUACGACCUGAGGGUGAAAGUGGGGGACCGCAAGGCCUCGCGCAGCAGGAGCGGCCGAUGUCUGAUUAGCUAGUUGGUGGGGUAAAGGCCCACCAAGGCGACGAUCAGUAGCUGGUCUGAGAGGACGAUCAGCCACACUGGGACUGAGACACGGCCCAGACUCCUACGGGACGCAGCAG